AAGUGCGCGCGAUUACUAACAGAGCGACAGACACUCGAUAUCCGCCGUUUCACUGACUGGAGGAUUUGUGAUGGUGAUGCAUAAUCUCGAGGCAGUAGCUCAUAAAUUACCGAACACUAAUUAGGGGUGAGAGGCCGAGCUGUCAGUCACAUUAUCCCAAAAAUUCGAACGCAACUCCCGUGUACUUUUUUGGAGUGGCGUCGAGGAAUCCGCGGCCAGUUGUCACUUUGCCCACCGUUUGUGGAAGGGACCGUCAUCAGCCAUGUGAAAGGCGGAAGAGGCAGAUGUUGGAGUGUGUGUGAUAACAUCUCGCCCUAGUGGUUGAGGAAUGUGAACCUCGCUAAUGCCAGAGCUGAAGGCCAAGCUCUAUAUGACAUUCAGAACAUCCACAAGUGCCACAUGGCUGUCAAUUUUCACACCCCUGCUGGUGGUAUUUUUCACAUUAGCCAACAUAAGCAACUCAAAUGUUGCUGGGAAUGCUGUGGCCUUUCUGUAUCAAGGGCAUUACCGCUGCGCCACAGCUCUGAGGUCGGAGAGCUGCGGAGAUGUUUUAAUGGAUGGAGAAUGCCGCUGAUCCCACAUCUAAGACCAGCAGG
Onychostoma macrolepis is the source of this 596-nucleotide long non-coding RNA. RefSeq lists it as uncharacterized. Lineage: Eukaryota; Metazoa; Chordata; Actinopteri; Cypriniformes; Cyprinidae. The transcript has 4 exons. The record is from RefSeq and is a predicted model, not a curated record.